RNAcentral lists this small RNA (128 nucleotides) under Arabidopsis thaliana (thale cress). Its description in RNAcentral is "ATSL102380". Lineage: Eukaryota; Viridiplantae; Streptophyta; Magnoliopsida; Brassicales; Brassicaceae. The record is from RNAcentral.
AACAAUAUGGUAAACUGAAGUAGAAAUAACAAAUGCAUACGAACUCUUAGAUCAAAGGAUAGAAGAACUAAGACCAUCUCUAUCAACGGUUUCUCAUUGAAAAACUGUCCAAUAUAAAAAAUAAAAUA